This is a long non-coding RNA of Bufo gargarizans (Asiatic toad), 297 nucleotides long. RefSeq lists it as uncharacterized. Lineage: Eukaryota; Metazoa; Chordata; Amphibia; Anura; Bufonidae. The transcript has 3 exons. The record is from RefSeq and is a predicted model, not a curated record.
CGGCGGUGCGCAGCUGUGAACAGCUCGUUGAUGGGGACUAGGCGAACAUGGAUUCACACUUAUACCAUGCGUUUGAUAUUAUGUGCCUGGAGUUGGAAGAGCUGGUGUGUGGUCCUCACAUGAGUUCCCGCUCAUCAAUUUUCUAUUGAAGAUAAGUGUAUUUUUCUUUGCAAUUUUGUUGUUCCCAAUUGCUUGUUGUUUACUAGGCCUCAGGGAGACACUGGUUCGUUCAUCUGGGAAGGAACCAGUGGUUUCAGACCCUGUCACUUCUCCUAGGGAUAUUCAGGGUUACUAGGG